Non-coding RNA from Rattus norvegicus (Norway rat), 4226 nucleotides. Lineage: Eukaryota; Metazoa; Chordata; Mammalia; Rodentia; Muridae. The record is from RefSeq and is a predicted model, not a curated record.
CUUCUGGCGGUUGUCCCAGGAGUCUUGCCAAUCCUGGCAGCUCCCCGAGCUAGGUGGUCCUGGUCCUCAGGGGUGCUACUACAAGGGUCCUGCUGCUCCCACAGAGAAGUAGGCUAGAGAAUUCAUAAUGUUGUGAGGAGUGAGAAGAGGGACCACUAAUUAUUUGAGCCUGUCAGGGCAACUAUGAUUGGGAGAGUGCUCUGGGGGCAGAGCUAGGCAGACAAGAAGGGUGGGGUGGGCGACUCCACAACCACUAAAGAGGAUUGAAGGUUCUCUAGCUGCAGAAGGUGACCCUGAGCCUGAAGUUAAGAUCCACCCCUCCAACUACCCUCAGAAAAGAGUAUGCCUCUCAAGGACAGCAACCAAAUACAUAAUACAACUAGGAACACACCAUCACAGCAAGGCUGGACAAGGCAACCCAGUAGGAAGAAAAGAGUCCUGUAAUGGAAGUUUUGAUGAGGGUCAGGAGGAGAGAAGAGGUAAGUAAUUUUCUCCCUGAGACUAACUUCAGCUGAAUGUCAAAGUGGACUCACUUUUGACAUCUGAAGGGCAGUGUGAGGGCACAGGAUGAUACCUGGGAUGAAGAAGUGAAGAGACAGACUAGAAGAGUAAAGAAAGAAAAGAAGUAUGGGGAAAUAUUAAAAAAAAUGCUGAAGCAUUUUUUAAAUUUCUUUUUUAGAAUUUAGGUUAUUUUACUGACUUUGACUAAUGUGAAAUAACAUUCAAAACUCCAUAUAUAGGAUAUAAACCUGUACCCUCAUGUUGCUUUGAACAUUUAUUGUGAUUAUUAAUUUUGUUUCAGGUUGAUUUCAUUCUAGUGUCUGCUUUCAGCAGCACACACACACACACACACACACACACACACACACACACACACACACAUGCAUGUACACAUGCCUACCUCUGGGUUAGGGGCAUGGAAGAGUGUUCACCUUAGGUUUUAAAGCUGAUUACAUGGGGAAUCCAAGGCAUUGUAAGUUUGGUUACACUGUUCUCUUACAGGGAGGUUAAACUUAAAGAUGCUGAAUACACAGCAGAACCCCAGAUUGAAUAGCCUCUAAUGAUCUCAAGGCAUACAAUUAACUAGGUUGCAAGGUUUGGCAAAAACUUAAUCUCCUUAAAGUCAGGAGGUAUUCUCAGAGGAAGAUAUCAGCACUCUUCAGCAGCCCUUACCUGCCACUGCAGUGUCUUCUCCAUGAGUAGCACUCCUGUUUGAAUCUCCCUUCUCCAGUUCCACUGAACACUGCAGAAUGUGAUCUACAUUAGCCCUUCUGCGGAUCCCUUUUUCCUCUAUCAGAAAGUAUUAUGUAAAUCAGUGCAAUGUUUGUGUAAACCAUCAGAGGAGCACAAAGCUCCCUUAAUAUUUCUUAGUUAGGCCAUCAAAAAUGCCACCAAGGGAAUUGUGCUGGCAUUAUAUAUAAUAUCUUGAAUCCAAUGUUGAGGACACAGGCAUGUUUUGUCUCUUUUGAAGGUAGUUUAGUGCAUGAGGUAUUGCCCUAGAGCUGAAAUGCAUGGGGCACAACACAGUGAAGAUCCUGCUUUAACUUCAGGAUAAGAGACCAGUUUUGAUUAGGAUGGUUUUGAGACCAGUCAGAAAAACCAUCCUAAUCUUACAGCAUUAUUUUUAUUUUCCAUUACUCCAUUUGAGUGUUGAUACACAGUUAUGGCUGCUGUCUUUAAACACAUUACCUACCAACAAAAGGUAACUGAAGAUGGGAUCAAAGUCAUGAACACUUUGACAAAGUCAAAGACACAUGUUAAAAUGUUCUGUUGUAGUCUCCCACUAUUAUUGUGUGAGGUGAAAUGUGUGCUUUGAGUUGAGCAAAGUUUCUUUUAUGAAUGUAAGUCCCCUUGCAUUUGGAGAAUAGAUGUUCAGAAUUCAUAGUUCAUCUUGGUAGAUUUUUCCUUUGAUGAGUAUGAAGUGUCCUUCCUUACUAUCUUUUUUGAGAACUUGGUUGAAAGUCGCUUUUAUUCUACUUUAGAAUGGCUACUCCAGCUUGUUUCUUGGGACCAUUUGUUUGGGAAUUUGUUUUCCAGUCUUUUACUCUGAGAUAGUGUCUGUUUUUGUCACUAAGGUGUGUUUUCUGUAUGCAGCAAAAUUCUGGAUCCUGAUUCUGAAUCCAGUUAGUUAGUCUAUGUCUUUUUAUUGGGAAAUUGAGUCCAUUCAUGUUAAAAGAUAUUAAAGAAAAGUGAUGUUGCUUCUUGUUAUUUUUGUUGUUAGAGGUGGAAUUAUGUUUGUGUGGUUAUCUUCCUAUUAUUUUUCUUUUUUAAUAUUAUUUUUCUUAGAUACUUUAUGUAUUUACAUUUCAAAUGUUAUUCCCUUUCUCCUCCUCUCCCGUACCCCCUCUCCCUUUUCCUGCUUCUAUGAGGAUGGUCCUACUAACACCAACUCAUUCCUACCUCAACCUCCUAGCAUUCCCCUAAAUUGGUGAAAUGAGCCUUUACAGAACCAAAGGCUUUUCCUCCUAUUGAUGUUAGACAAUAUGGUCUUCUGUUACAUAUGCAGCUGGAGCCAUGGGUCCCACCAUGUGUAUUCAUUGGAUGGUCGUUUAGUAUCUGGGAGCUCUGAGAGGGAGUCUAGUUGAUAAUAUUGUUUUUCUUCCUAUGGGGUUCUUCAACUCAUUCAGUCUUUUCUCAAACUCCUUCAUUGGGGUCCCCAUGUUUAGUCCAACUGCAAGCAUCCUCUUCUGUGUCAAUAAGGCUCUGGCAGAGCCUCUCAGGAGACAUCUAUACCUGACUCCCGUCAGCAAGCACUUCUUGGCAUCAGGAAUAGUGACUGAGUUUGGUGACUGCAUAUGAGAUAAAUCCCCAGGUGGAGCAGUCUCUGGAUGACCAUUUCUUCAGUCCCUGCUCCAUUCUUUGUCCUUGUAUUUCCUCCCAAGAGCUGUUCUUCAUUCUAAGAACUGAAGCAUCCACAUUUUGGUCUUCCUUCGUCUUGAGCUUCAUAUGACCUGUGAAUUGUUUCUUGGGUAUUCCAAGACUUUGGAUUAAUAUCCAAUUAUCAGUGAGUACAUAACAUGUGUGUUCUUUUGUGACUUGGAUACCUUACUAAGGAUGAUAUUUUCAAGUUCCAUCCAGUUUGCCUAAGAAUUUCAUGUAGUCAUUGUUUUUACUAGCUGAGUAAUACUCUAUCAUGUAAAUGUACCACCUUUACUAUAUCCAUUCCUCUGUUGAAGGCUAUCUGGGUUGUUUCCAGCUUCUAGAUGCUAUAAAUAAGAUGGCUAUGAACAUAGUGGAACAUGUGUCCUUGUUAUAUAUUAGAGCAUUUUUGGGUAUAUGCCCAGGAGUGGUAUAGCUGCGUCUUCAGGGAAUACUAUGUCCAAUUUUCUGAGGAACCGCCAGGCUGAUUUCCAGAGUGGUUGUACCAGCUUGCCUUCCCACCAACAAUGGAGGAGUCUCCCUUUCUCCACAUCCUUGCCAACAUCUGUCAUCUGAAAUUUUGAUUUAAUCCAUUCUGCCUGGUAUGAGGUGGAAUCUCAGGGUUAUUUUGAUUUGGAUUUCCAUGACGACUAAGGAGGUUGAAAAUUUCUUUAAGUUCUUCUUGGCCAUUUGGUAUCCCUCAGUUGAGAAUUCUUUGUUUAGCUCUGUACCCCAUUUUUAUAUAGGAUUAUUUGGUUCUCUGGAGUCUAACUUCUUGUGUUCUUUGUAUAUUUUAGAUAUUAGCCUUCUAAUGGAUACACAGUUAGUAAAGACCUUUUCCCAAUCUGUUCAUUGCUGUUUUGUCCUCUUGACAGUGUCCUUGAUCUUACAGAAGCUUUGCAAUUUUAUGAGGUCCCAUUUGUUGAUCUUAAAGCAAAAGCCAUUCUAUUUCAUUGAUCUAACUUCCUGUCUCUGUACCAAUACCAUACAGUUUUUUUUUAAUCACUAUUGCUUUGUAAUACAGCUUGAUGUCAGGGAUGGUGAUUCCCCCAGAAGUUCUUUUAUUGUUGGGAGUUUUUGCUAUCCUGGGUUUUUGUUAUUCCAAAUGAAGCUGCAAAUUGCUCUUUCUAACUCUAUGAAGAAUUGAGUUGGAAUUUUGAUGGGGAUUGCAUUGAAUCUGCAGAUUACUUUUAGCAAGAUGGCCAUUUUUACUAUAUUAAUCCUGUCAAUCCAUGAGCAUGGGAGAUUUUUCCAUCUUCUGAGAUCCUUGUCAAUUUCUUCCUUUUUUUUUUUAUUAUUAACUUGAGUAUUUCUUAUUUACAUUUCGAGUGUUAUUUCAUUUCCUGGUUUCCGGGCAAACAUCCCCC